AUGAUGGGUUUUCUCUUUCUCAUCUCCCACGCCCAAAUCACCCAAAUCACAACCAUCUUACAACCUCCAUUCCACCGCUUCUGCUCCAACCAUCGCCGCCAGCCCUGAAGAAACCCUAUACAAGGUAGGGAGACAUAGUGUGAUGACUUGCAACCAUGGGGAGGUAAAGUGCAAAAAAUGGAAGAUAGGGAGACAAAGUGAAAGCGCUACCAAACAACAGAGAAGCAAAUUGCAGUUUACUCAUAUUUAUAUUUAUGGAGGCUAAUAGUAAUGGUGGGUAAUGAUAGAGACCCGCUGAGGCUUAUCAUAACCCUGUUAAAAUACUACUAAAAUUAAUUAAGACAAGUAUAACCUAUUAUAAUUGAUAGAGACCCAUAAUCGUGUUAAAAUACUACUAAAAUUAAUUAAGACAAGUAUGACCUAUUAUAAUUACUUAUUACAAAUCUAGUCACUUGUGGUCAGUCAUGGAUGAUCACGUAUGUAAUUCAUAUUCAUAAAAUAGUUAAUUAUCGAAAUGGUCAAUAAUGUGCUUUGCCAAAGUCACACAUUUGGAUGCUA
This is a long non-coding RNA of Helianthus annuus (common sunflower), 558 nucleotides long. RefSeq lists it as uncharacterized. NCBI's taxonomy places the organism in Eukaryota, Viridiplantae, Streptophyta, Magnoliopsida, Asterales, Asteraceae. The transcript is spliced from 2 exons. The record is from RefSeq and is a predicted model, not a curated record.